UCCGAAUUGGUGUAGUGGCCAACAUUUGACGCUCUCAUGUUCGUAGAACAGAACCGUCAAGCCCGGGGUUCGAUUCCCCGAUUCGGAG
Non-coding RNA from Hypoxylon cercidicola, 88 nucleotides. NCBI's taxonomy places the organism in Eukaryota, Fungi, Ascomycota, Sordariomycetes, Xylariales, Hypoxylaceae. The record is from the annotation of a GenBank genome assembly.